AUGAGAGAAACACAGCAAUACAGACCUACAGGCUCUUACUCCAAACUCUUACUAGAAACAAAUAGACAAAAUAAACAGCCACAUAAUAUUCCUACUAAUCUAAUCACACAGCUUCCAGAUCAGCCAACCCUGGAUCCAAGCCUAAAAGCCCAGCCGCAAUCUGCAUACACCCAGUCCUCUGAGGAAAUUAGUCAACUUCCAGAAAAGCACCCAAACUCACAUCAAGGCCAUUCAUCUCCCAGCUCACUGGCUCAGGUCUUUCAUAGUCUUAACCAGACCACUAGAUUCACAAAUUAUAAUUUAAAGAGUACCACAGUAGCCCCUGUGGAGGUAUUCCAGAACUGGAGUCAACCCAUUGAACAAUUUAGUGCUACCAAAGCAUCACAGACAAAUAAUACAGAACUGGUCGAAACACUGAAGAAAAACACCUCUAAGGCUCCCAUGAGGACCACUGACAAUAAUGCCAGGGAAAAGAAGAAGUCUCAGAGUUGGUUGCCUGUGAUUGAAAAACAUGACAUCCCCAUUGUAGUGGGAGUCGGAGUUUCCUUAGCAUUUAUUUUCAUCACGAUGGCUUUCUAUUCUUUGUUUCGGAAAAAUGACCCUGAAGCAAAACCUACAGGACGAGCAGCUCUACGAGGCCUAGGUGGUCCAUGUAGGCACGGAGAACGUCUUGCAAUUGAAAGGACAUAUGAUAAUAAGGCUUUUGAGGAUGACAAUAUGGUUGCAGUAAUUGAGCAAAGUCCAAACACUUCUGAGACAAGAGCCCAUCCCCCAGGGUCCAGUCCAUCCACCUUGUUGAUGGAACCCUCUUAUGAUGAUGUCCAUGAGGAAGUACAGCCCACCCAGGAUCUACCAGUGAUAGUGGAGACACACCCUGAGCCCUCUGAGGAAGAGCAGUUGGAGACAUCCUUUGAAGAAAGCAAGGUCACCCCCUCCCCCCAAUCUGAUAUCCAGCUCCAGUGCAUGGAGGAUUGGAGAAGCCGAGAUUUCAGACAAUGCCAGGAUGCCCCUUCCCCGCCUCCGCCCAACCCGCCAGCUUCUCAGGAGGAAGGUCUCCGGUCCUCACUGACCCUGCAGACCAGCGAGCCCUGUGCCACUCCAGUCCACCACAGCAUCAACAUAUCGCAUGGCUCUUCCCCUCUCCUCUUGUCCCACUGCGUGUCCCUGGGCACAACCUCCGUGGCUGUGGACGUUCACUUCUACCCCUCAGCCUCUGGAGGUCCCAUUGGCAGCUCUGCCUUUGGGCCUCUGGGGCCUCAGGGCAGCUCCAGGCUUGAGCAUGAUCAAAUGGCACCUUCUGCUCACCAUGGGAAAUGAAAGCACUCUCAACAUCGACAUCGGCUUGUGAUGACUCACUAACUCACUAGAGCACUCUUUUAUGAGGACCUAGUCUUUGUCUUUUUAACUUUUUAUAUACGUAUAUUUAACUUGUGUAUCUUUAACUUUUUACAGAC
Pygocentrus nattereri (red-bellied piranha) is the source of this 1454-nucleotide long non-coding RNA. Lineage: Eukaryota; Metazoa; Chordata; Actinopteri; Characiformes; Serrasalmidae. The record is from Ensembl.